Molecule: long non-coding RNA, 1002 nt
Organism: Melanaphis sacchari
Lineage: Eukaryota; Metazoa; Arthropoda; Insecta; Hemiptera; Aphididae
Exons: 5
Source: RefSeq, a predicted model, not a curated record
UCGCUCCGUCCAUUUUUUCCCUUUUGGAAAACGUUAAUUUUCGUAUACCUAUCUAUUGUAGUGUUUGAGACAUUUUUUUUUUCACCGUCUUCUUCUUCGUCGCCCGCGUGGCGCGCGUAUCAUCGUCACCGUCUCGAUUCGGCGCCGCCACCGCACCGCUGCCGACGCCGAAGUCGUAUUCCGGGUGACGAUUCGUUGCGCGGCGCACGUGCGAAUAUACUGUUGUGGCGACUUGACGGCGGUUUCAGCGGUGACCAUAGUAAUAUAGGCUCCCGCGCGAAGUUUAGGCACCUCAUAUUUAAUACCAUUAUUGUCGUAGCUGCUGUCGUCGUAAUAAUUACGACUUAAAUUUUCGUUCGUCGAAUCACUCCUGUCCACAAAUAUAAUAAUAUACUCUUGACCGUUUUAAUCGUUUUUGUUGUUGUUGUUGUUGUUUUUUUUUAAUUGUUCUUGUUAUUGUUGUUGUGUUACGGGUGCAGUAAUUUUUGGCGUACGUCACAAAGACCACCGGUAAAGCUCUUUUAAUAAAUCAUAUACAAAUAUUGAAUAAAUCUACAUAUUUUUGCUAAAGAUCUGUUCGACUUCAGAGAAAACCAAAAUCAUUUAUUAAGUACGCAACCAUGUAGGACAAGCCGACAAAAGCAAUUUCAUUUUUUCAAACCAAUCGACUAAUAACUUACACACGGCGCACGGUACAGCGAUAUUGAUCACUCAUCAGUGUGUAUUUUAUACGUCAAAAUAUAUCAACAACAUUUGAUACUUCUCAACGAAUUUACGGAAUAUAAAAAUCAGUCGGUUCUGACAACGGUGGUGACGAUGACCAACACUGCAUGUGCAAUAUGAGUAUUGGCGCGCAGCGGUGAUGGUUCCAUGGACGACGACGGCGACGACGGCGAUGACGAUGAUGAUGAUGAUGAUGACGACGACGAUGACGACGAUGACCAUCUCGUCGUCGCCCGGAUGUCCGGCGGGAUGCGCGUGCAAGUGGAAGAACGGCAAGCA